UACGAAGGGGGCUAGCGUUGCUCGGAAUCACUGGGCGUAAAGGGUGCGUAGGCGGGUUUUUAAGUCAGAUGUGAAAUCCCCGGGCUUAACCUGGGAACUGCGUUUGAAACUGGAAGGCUAGAGUGUGGCAGAGGGGGGUGGAAUUCCACGUGUAGCAGUGAAAUGCGUAGAUAUCAGGAGGAACACCGAUGGCGAAGGCAGGUCUCUGGGCUGACACUGACGCUCAUGCACGAAAGCGUGGGGAGCAAACAGG
RNAcentral lists this ribosomal RNA (253 nucleotides) under uncultured bacterium. Its description in RNAcentral is "partial 16S ribosomal RNA". It matches the Rfam family "Bacterial small subunit ribosomal RNA", at positions 524 to 776 of the family's 1533-position model. The record is from RNAcentral.